GGUGAUGUAGCUCAGUCGGUUAGAGCAUCGGAUUCAUACUCCGGGGGUCGGUGGUUCAAGUCCACUCAUCACCACCA
Molecule: transfer RNA, 77 nt
Filed under: Thiobacillus sp.
Lineage: Bacteria; Pseudomonadati; Pseudomonadota; Betaproteobacteria; Nitrosomonadales; Thiobacillaceae
Description: tRNA-Met
Rfam family: tRNA
About the family: Transfer RNA (tRNA) molecules are approximately 80 nucleotides in length. Their secondary structure includes four short double-helical elements and three loops (D, anti-codon, and T loops). Further hydrogen bonds mediate the characteristic L-shaped molecular structure. tRNAs have two regions of fundamental functional importance: the anti-codon, which is responsible for specific mRNA codon recognition, and the 3' end, to which the tRNAs corresponding amino acid is attached (by aminoacyl-tRNA synthetases). tRNAs cope with the degeneracy of the genetic code in two manners: having more than one tRNA (with a specific anti-codon) for a particular amino acid; and 'wobble' base-pairing, i.e. permitting non-standard base-pairing at the 3rd anti-codon position.
Source: RNAcentral